Molecule: long non-coding RNA, 1049 nt
Filed under: Gallus gallus (chicken)
Lineage: Eukaryota; Metazoa; Chordata; Aves; Galliformes; Phasianidae
Source: RNAcentral
GCCGAGCCAGGCAGUGAGCUCCUAUUUGCCCGAGGGAGUCCGCUCCAUGCCAUAGCGCAGGAGGUGGUGCAGGUCCGUGAGCGCCCGGGGGGGCCCCGCACCGGGUGCCCGUGGGGCCGUGCCGUGCUGCCCGUAGCCGCCUGCCGGCGCUUCGCCGCUGUUAAAUGUGUGGUUCCUCUUGAGGUGGGCACCGGGGCGUUGGGUGCCGUUGUUGGCGUUGAAGUUCAGCUGCUCAGGGUGCCACGGCGGCCCCUCCACAAAGUCCCCCCCUUCCCCACCGGGCGCCGAAACCACGCGCCGGCGGUCGGGGCUGGGGCGCGGGGUGCCCCCAAAGUCGCCGUAGGAGCUCCGGGGCGGACGGCGGGCGCCGGCGGGGGGGUGCUGCCGGGUGCGGGGACCCUCGUGGUGGUCCCGUCCCCAGUGCCCGUCACCCGAGGAGUCGCUGAGUUCAGCCUCCAGCUCCUGAUCCACCAGGAUGGCGUGGCAGGAGAGGGGCAUGCCGCGGGCAGAGCGGCCGGCGCCGGCGUGCAGCCGCGUGCCGCUGGCACCAGGGUCCCGCAGCGCGGCGUUGAUGAUGUUGUGGCUCUGCUCCCAGGUGCAGUUCUGCAGGGCACCGGGGCAGCGCUUCUGCUGCAGCGGGGUUUGCUCCGGCGUAGGCAGGACGCCCGAGUCCAGGUCGUGUUGGCUCGCCUUGCCCAGCUCCUUGGGCCACCCGUUGGGCAUCAGCGGGGCCAGCAGCGCGCCGGGCUGCCCGCCACGCGCUCGCCGCUCGCCCAACCGGCUGACGCUCACCACCGACUCGCUGUGUGCCAGGAUGGUCUCCUUGUCCUUGCGUCGUGCCAGCUCCUUGCGGUCCCUGUGGCCGAUGAACCAACACACGCUGAAGCCGGAGAUAACGGCGCCGAUGACGAAGGCGGCCACCGAGGAGAUGACCAGCAGGUUCACCGACACCAGCCCGUCCGGCUCGUCCACGAAGCUCUCCGUCACCAGCCCCUCGCACUCGCCCAGGUGCGAUGUGCUGCCACCGGAGAUGUCCUGCUCGAAAGCCG